RNAcentral lists this ribosomal RNA (497 nucleotides) under uncultured bacterium. RNAcentral's name for it is "partial 16S ribosomal RNA". It matches the Rfam family "Bacterial small subunit ribosomal RNA", at positions 28 to 507 of the family's 1533-position model. The record is from RNAcentral.
GAUGAACGCUGGCUGCGUGCCUAAUACAUGCAAGUCGAGCGAACAGACGAGGAGCUUGCUCCUCUGACGUUAGCGGCGGACGGGUGAGUAACACGUGGAUAACCUACCUAUAAGACUGGGAUAACUUCGGGAAACCGGAGCUAAUACCGGAUAAUAUAUUGAACCGCAUGGUUCAAUAGUGAAAGACGGUUUUGCUGUCACUUAUAGAUGGAUCCGCGCCGCAUUAGCUAGUUGGUAAGGUAACGGCUUACCAAGGCAACGAUGCGUAGCCGACCUGAGAGGGUGAUCGGCCACACUGGAACUGAGACACGGUCCAGACUCCUACGGGAGGCAGCAGUAGGGAAUCUUCCGCGAUGGGCGAAAGCCUGACGGAGCAACGCCGCGUGAGUGAUGAAGGUCUUCGGAUCGUAAAACUCUGUUAUUAGGGAAGAACAAAUGUGUAAGUAACUAUGCACGUCUUGACGGUACCUAAUCAGAAAGCCACGGCUAACUACGUG